GGGGAUAGGCUGGGCAAUGAUUAGCAGCUGGUGAGCAAUUGCAUUAUGCAACACUUGUUUUGUAUACAUUAUUAUUGAUAGUACUAUUGUCAUCAUUAUUAUUAUUUUCCUUUCUUUUCUGUGCUAAUAAAUGUCUCUAUCUCAGCCCACAAGCUUUCACUUUUUCCUGAUCCUGUCUCCCCCACUG
Long non-coding RNA from Oxyura jamaicensis (ruddy duck), 187 nucleotides. RefSeq lists it as uncharacterized. The record is from RefSeq and is a predicted model, not a curated record. The transcript has 3 exons. Lineage: Eukaryota; Metazoa; Chordata; Aves; Anseriformes; Anatidae.